GAUUAAGGAAAAGCCUAUUAAAUGUCAAAUUGUGUUAUGAUUUUACAAAUUAAGCACCAUAUUUUAAAACAAAUUGACAGAAAAAGCAGUUCAAUACAUGGUAAUGUUAUUUAUGAAUUUAGCACCAAAACAUUGCAAUGUACUGAAAACAUUGGCUACAAAAAACAUUGACUACUAAAAGGCAGACUGUGUUGGAUAAUACAGAACGUUGGAUAAGCAGAGGUUGGAUAAGUGAGACUCUACUGUAUAUUAAUUUAGUGGAGACUGUGCCUUUCCAUCACUCUUGCACUGGUACAUAGAUCCCUGCAGAGAGAAGAAAAUAACAUUAUACGUUAUCUGUUAUUUUUAUACUCAUGAAGGCAGCCCCUCCCCCCCUAUAUUCUUACAGCAACCUUAUGAAAAGGGUUAGGCAGAGAAUGAAUGCCCAGAUUAAUCUGAUUCUUUCAAAACCCACUCUAGCACUAUAACCAAUAUGUCAAUGACCUUCCUAUUAAAUAAGAUAACUAAGAAGUGAGGGUGUUUUUUUUUUUUUGCAGCAAUGUGAUCUCACUCUUAACAAAGGGCUGAUAAGAUAGAUUGAUGCCAUUAAUGCAAGCAUGGAAUUAAAACACGUAUGAACCAACAAGUGCCAUCAGAUUCAAUCUCCAUUUUCCCCAUCUUCCCCACUUGCAGAUUCAGCAACCAUUUGAGUUAUGCAAUGUAAGGGAAGUUCUAAUUCUCUGUAUAUUUAUCUGCCUUUGUGGCCUGUUGACUUAGGGUGCAUACACACUGUAGAAUUAAUGUAGUUUGAUACCAUUUUAACUGCCACAGCCCGAUACUAUUGAAUCCUAGGAUGUGUAAUUGGUUGAGAUACCAGCACUCUUUGGCAAAGAAGACUAGAGACCUUGUAAACUACAAACCCCAAUGAUUCCAUAGCAUUGAGCCAUAGCAAACUGCAUCAAUUCUCCUUUAAGGAUUCACCCUUUAACAGGAUUUACCUUUGUGUAUUAAAGAUAUGUUAUAGAAAGGUAUGGUAGGUUAGGGCUAUUUGGCAUUGCCUGCUUAAACAAUCUAUCCAAGGUUAUGUGAAGUGCAGGUGUUUGCUUAGGAAGAAGCCAGAUGUUUGCAUGCAGGGUAAUAGGUGAGCCUUCGACCUUUGCUCUCCUGAUAAUACACUGAAAUUGGGCUAACAGUUUGUUAGCUGAACGAAGAGGGUAGGACUACAGUCUUCCCUCCACAUUUGUGGUUUUGGCUUUUGUGGAUUUGUUUUAUCACAGAUCUGAUCAAAAUCUCUUGAGGAAUCUCUAGGUCCAAAAUGCAGUUCUGUAGUCAGCUUCCAGAAGAAGUUGACCAUAAAACCAUCCUGUAAGAUCUAAAAUUCCUAAAUAAGUGUUUUCUCAAGCCACAUAUAUCAAUUUCUUUGUUCAUGCUUUCUCACUUUCACAGGUUCCUGGGCAACUAAACCCAGUGAAGUUGGAAGGCUGACUGUACUGGACCUGUCUCAGCAUGCCAGACCAACUGUGUUGCUUUUCUGAUUUAAGCUGCACUCAACAAUUACCUUCUAUUCACUGCGAGUAUAAUAAUACAUUUACAUCACUGCUGGUGGGAAGAAUUAAUAUUUAUAUCAUUUCCUUAUCGCAAAUCACCUAUUAUAUCACAUUGACCCAGCAAAGAUAAACACAGGUGUGGGACCUUGAGGCAAGGACAAUGAUGAUGGGAACAAUUUGGAACAGGAAAGUGGCAAGCAGACUCUCUUAUCUACCAUUUCUCAGCCACAAAACACCCAGCACUCAAGUGCGGGGAAAGUAUGACAUAUAUUCCAAGGCUUUUAUGUGUGUGUGUAUCCAGAUGCCCUAAAUCAGUGCUUAUCAGGGUCUUUGAUGUAAGGGCCUGACCCUGACAAUAAUUUUCCCCUGUGUAUAUGGGACUAGCACUAUAUUGAUGCUCACUUGUUAGAAUUGAUUCUUUCUUUCCUGAAAACCACCCAGAGACUGGCUGCUGAUGACUCAGGACCUGAAACCAGUCCAGCCAGUAAAACAGGAGCGAGGAAGGUGCAGACCACCAAAUCAAUCCAAGCCAACAUAGUUAAUGGUGCAAACUGAUGGGAGUUGCAAUUCAGCAUCGUCAGGAAGACCACCCUUUGCCCACACCAGCUUUAAAGACCUCUCUCUUUCCUUUUGAGAACUUUAUGGCAAGCUUCUGAGAUUAUCUGGUUUAGAGAAACUUCAAAAGAGCAGAUUGCUGGCAAGCUAUGAAAGAGGCUCAUCAGGUUUUUUCUGUUACUGCAAACCAAGUUCAAAAGUUGGAUUCCAUGAACCUAACUCAGAAGAGGGGAGAGGAUGCGGCAGAAAUCUGCACUUCUCAAUAGACUCAAGCAAAAGCAAUCCUAGCUUGUAUAUUCUUCCUCCUUAAUACAUUUUGCCAUUUUGAUCACCUUGUGAUGUUGCCUGGCCUCCUUAUGUCCCAGUUUUCACCUGUCAAUGAUGGGAGGCUAUGCAAAUAGCAGGAACUGUAUCAGUAUGCUGUCCAGCACUUAGUGUCCUGUACAACAGAUGGACCUAACAUUGUUUCAGAACAUGGGCACAGGUAUGGGGAAGGUCAUAAUGCGAUCUCCUGUGUUAAAAAGGGUAGAAAGUUUAUAACAUUUUCCCCACUAAGUGGAAGAGAAAAAGACACUCUGAAAAACAUUCCCAGGAUAAUGUUUUAUGAGAAACAUUUUGAACAUUUCGAGCAAAUAGGUUCUUCCACCUUUUUGCAAUUAUUGUUUGUAUGUGUCUGUAAUGAUUUAAUAUUUUUUUAUAAGUUGCAUAUUUUUAUGUCAUUGGACUUGUGAGGUUACUCUGAAAAGCAAUAUAAAUAGUGAUAUAAACCAACGGUAUGUUUUAACAUGGCUGGCACUCUUCCUCAAUCUGCAGAGGAAGAGGUAACCAGCAAUCUUGGGCAAGUUGUUUCGAUGGGAAGCUUUGUUUGUUACUUAUCUCCUCACUGAUUAACAGUUAAACUUUUUAUGAAACGUUCUCUGGUCUCUCAAAGUAAGAUCCACACUGCCAAAGUAGCUAAGGGAUACUGGUUACGAAGGCUUAGGAUGGCCUAAGAUUUAAGUUAUUUCUUCAUGGGAAGAAGAAAUACAGAAGUGAUAUUUCCACAUCAACUUGCAGUGUUUCUGUUUAGCAAGGCUGUACAGAAAAUAUUCUCUUAAAAAACUUUUCUUUCAAAAUGGCUUGCUAUUAUCUGCAGUUUUGCAUAUUCACCCAAACUCUUUGUGGAUACGGGGGCCGUACUGUGUUGCUAAUUGGUCACCAUAUGUUGUGUUAUUAAUUCUAUAUAUUCCACUCUGUAAUUCUUAUGUAAUAUAAUAGGAGUUGCUCUUUUUUCC
Anolis carolinensis (green anole) is the source of this 3355-nucleotide long non-coding RNA. RefSeq lists it as uncharacterized. Lineage: Eukaryota; Metazoa; Chordata; Lepidosauria; Squamata; Anolidae. The transcript is spliced from 3 exons. The record is from RefSeq and is a predicted model, not a curated record.